Molecule: ribosomal RNA, 520 nt
Filed under: uncultured Glomus
Lineage: Eukaryota; Fungi; Glomeromycota; Glomeromycetes; Glomerales; Glomeraceae
Description: SSU rRNA
Rfam family: Eukaryotic small subunit ribosomal RNA
Source: RNAcentral
AGCAGCCGCGGUAAUUCCAGCUCCAAUAGCGUAUAUUAAAGUUGUUGCAGUUAAAAAGCUCGUAGUUGAAUUUCGGGAUCGACGGGUCGGUCGCGCCUCCGGUGUGUACUGGCCCUGUCGGUUUCUCCCUUCUGAAGAACCGCGAUGUCAUUAAUUUGGUGUCGUGGGAAAUCAGGACUGUUACUUUGAAAAAAUUAGAGUAGUCUAAAGCAGGCAUUCGCUUGAAUACAUUAGCAUGGAAUAAUGAAAUAGGACGUUUGAUCUUAUUUUGUUGGUUUCUAAGAUCGACGUAAUGAUUAAUAGGGAUAGUUGGGGGCAUUAGUAUUCAAUUGUCAGAGGUGAAAUUCUUGGAUUUAUUGAAGACUAACUACUGCGAAAGCAUUUGCCAAGGAUGUUUUCAUUAAUCAAGAACGAAAGUUAGGGGAUCGAAGACGAUCAGAUACCGUCGUAGUCUUAACCAUAAACUAUGCCGACUAGGGAUCGGAUGAUGUUAAUUUUUAAUUGUAUUCAUUCGGCGCCU